Long non-coding RNA from Pipra filicauda (Wire-tailed manakin), 98 nucleotides. RefSeq lists it as uncharacterized. The record is from RefSeq and is a predicted model, not a curated record. The transcript is spliced from 3 exons. NCBI's taxonomy places the organism in Eukaryota, Metazoa, Chordata, Aves, Passeriformes, Pipridae.
CAGUAACAUGGUUCUUGCAAUGAGAUGGAUCAAAAUACUUCCACUGUGGAAAGGAAACAUAAGCUGCUCCUGAGAAACGCGAGCGUCGGACAAAACGC